AAGCAACUGGGAACGAGAUUACAGGAAGUGACGUCAUUCUUCAACGUGAGGCAAGGUGGGUCGUUAUUUGAAUAGAUGCCGAUUCCCCCCUUACUUCACGUUUUCGGAAGGAGCACAGAAUCCACGGCUACAUUCGCAGAGGCACGACCUUCGAACCACCUGCUGACGUUUCUUUCCAAACUGAAAAAUAUUUCUACCUCACACACAUUCAAUCCUCACAACAUCAGUUCUCCCAUGUUCAACUUGCACGUUCCAGGGCGUGUCAAAUCUCCCAACCAGCUGCCGAUGUUUCUUUCCAAUUUUAAAAAUAUUUCUACCUCACGCACAUUAAAGAUAAGUUCAUAUUCUAUAAAUAUACACACUCUAAAGCCUUCCAGAAAUCAAUUUCGCCUCAUUUUCUCGAUGCUUUAUUCGCUCACCUCAUGAAUUUUGCUGCACGUCCCAUUUCACAAGCACUUGCUGAUGUUUCUUUCCAACGUUAACAAUUUCUGUACCCCACUGUGAUUCAGUUGAAGUCUCUGUGUCUCUAUCCUUCAAAUUCGCACUCUGAUGUCCCCGGAAACCAGUCUCGCCUCAUUUGCGCAAUGCUUUCGUCGUCCCCGUCAUGCAUUUUUUUGCUGCAUCCAUUUCUAAAGUCUUUGCCUAUGUUAAAAAUAUUUCUACCCCACUUAGACUCAAUUUUGGUCACCAUUUUAUAAACAGAUAUACUGAAGCUUUUCAGAAAUCAGUUUCACCUCAUUUCCUCCACGCUUUCAUCACUCAUCUCACACAUAUCCCUAGGAUGUCGAUUCCACAGCACUUGCCGAUGUUUCUUUCUAAUGUUGAGAGUAUUUCUACCCCACCAAGAUUUAACAGUAUCCCAUACAUAGACACCCUGAAGCAAUCUAGAAACCGAUUUCACCUCAUUCAUUUUUUAUUCACAUAAUGGCCACGUUUUGAAAACGCUCGUCCUUUCCGGAGCACUUUGCGAGAUUUCUUUCCAAUGUGAAGAAUAUUUCUACCUGACUGAGAUACAAUCUCCUUACUCCAUAUACUCACUCCAUAUACUGUCACAAACACCCCUAGACAAUCUCGAAAUCAGUUUCACCUCAUUUGCUCAAUCCUUUCAUCACGCAUCUCAUGCAUUUCACUGAAUGGCCCAUUUCCGAUGCGCAUGUCAAUGUUUCUUUCCAAUUUUAAAAAUAUUUCUACUCCACUUAUUCUCAAGCUAACUGCAUAUCCUAUAACUAGACAUUGUCGAGCAUUCCAGAAACAAAUUUCAUGUCGUUUCAUUCGUUUCACCCCUCAGCUUGCACUUUAAAGGGUGCGUCACGCCUCCGAGCCAUCCGCUCCUCAGCACCUUUCCAAUUUUACAGAUAUUUCUACCUCACACAGAUUUAAGAGCUCCGAUCUCCUUCUCUGAACUUCACAUACAUGGAGAAAGAGCACUUUCAUGUACCUUCUUCCAAGCUGCAUCCUAGCCAGCUAGCCAAGGAACUAGGACAACAGAACCAUGAGUCUUUCUCACCAUCAGGACCAUGAGGAGGAGAUGGCCUUCCUCAACAUGAGUUCUGACUGGCAGUGAUGGAAUGUACAAGCGAGCGCGUCCCAUGCGUGGCCACUGCCGUUACAACUGACUAACUGGCACGCCUUUGCAGGCCGCCAAAGGUCAUUUUUUUUCUUGCACGUUGCCUACAUCGUGAAACACUUGGACCUUUGUGGUGGAUGACAGGAACAUAUGAAGUCCUAUAAUCUGCGGUGUUCACUCUAGAGGUGUCACCCGAUGAAUCGUGCCGCUUUCACUAUUACGAAUAAUCUUGACGGAUUCGUUGUCCUCAAAGUUGAUAGUUUCACACUGUUGGCGUUCAUGUGGGGCGAACAGGCACCUCGGGCAUCAUUGCUGUUGUUUGACCACUCUCUUUUAUAGACUUAGGCUGCGCAGAUGGAAUCCUGUGGAUCAAACAGAUGGAAUGUUCAGAAUCUGGCUGUCCACUGUUGAGAUAAACCUAGUCACUUCUGAAAGGAAGAAGGCCACAAAACAAGAUGAUUUGUUCUUUCAACACAGUGCGUGAUUAUCAUUAUAUAUGUUCAGACUGACGACCACAAUACAAUAUUUACUAGCACCUUUUCUUUUUUAUUUUCAUGUAAUAUAUAUACAGUCAACCCCCGAUUUAUGAACACCUCGGUUCCCCAAAAAAUUGUUCAUAAAUCGAGGGAUUCAUAAAUCGAAAAUUCAGUUAACUGAGUGCUAUCGAGCAAAUGCAACAGUAUUUCCAAGUUGGGAUUGUGUUUAUAAUGCCAUAUAUUGUGUAAUUUUGCUUUUGACCACGCCUUCUGCUGUAUCAAUCUCACAAAGAACAGACGUUAGCGCAUUCACACUCUGUUUAUUAUGCAAUACUAAAUUGUUUAAUUUCGCUUUGGACCAUGCCUUCCGCUGCGUCAAUCUUGGAAAUAAGAGAUGUCACUACAUUCGCACUGGACUGGUCUCGGAUUUCCUCCGGAAUUUUUAACCUCCGUUUAUUAAUCUCCAGGUGACAGCGACCACUUUAUUCAUCAACUGAGGUCAGGAACACUUGGUCGAACAACGGAAAACCGGUUUGUUGUUCGGAUUUCGAGGGGUUAAGAACCGAGGAUCGCAAUACCUGGAAAACGUUUUGUCCGUUCAGGCGUCAUUCAUAAGACCACGGAAUUAUCCCUUUGAAGGUUUCUGUUGACCUCGGAAUGAUCCGUUCAUAAAUUGAGGGGAAAAACGCUGGGCAACUCCUAGUUGGUUCCCAGAAAUUCCGUUCAUUAUUCGAAUAUCGAGGUUCAUAAAACGAGGGAAAAAUGAAUGGAAAAAGUUUGGUUCCCCGUGUUCGUGUUCAUAAAACGAGGGAAUUCAUAAAUCGAAGGUUCAUAAAUCGAGGGUUGACUGUAUCUAUAUAUGCACCAUACUGCACAACGAUUCUCACUAGGGUUCCACGUAGCUUCACAAUCUUAGUUUUUCUUUACAUCGAGCCAGGAAUGGAUUAAAAAUUGGUACGAUGUUAAUAUAAGCAGCAUACAAAAAUAUUUCCAAAUUAGGUCCACAUGAACAAAACUGCACAAAGUGAAUUGAAAAGAAUGAAAAAAAAUGAAGGUAUUUAGCCUAAUAGAGAGCAAAAAAUUCAGCACAAGUGUACAUCAUGUGGAAUGGAAACACACACACACAAUGGUACCGGGAAGGCGGUUCCACUACAACGACAUACAAGGAGAAAAUGGAUUCAGAAAUAACUUCCUUGAGCAUGAGGGAAUACCCACGUUCUACGGGUGAUCGGCACGUAUGAUAGAUAGCCUGAGAUAUAUGUAGCCUGUUAGACCAAAGAUUCUCUGAGGUGAUUAUUAUGAAUGAUAAUAAAUCUUGUUGAAACAAAGACUAGUUAUUUUUCGACAAGUGCAAAGUAGAAGCAGAUGGAGGAUGUGUUUCAUAGCAGUGAUACUGGCGUUGUAGUUACCAAAUAUGAACAGGCUGUCUUGCAUUGUACUGUUUCUAUUGAGUUUGAAAUGUUGAUGUGGUCGGUAUCCCACACAGAGCCAUGUCUUCCAACUUAGGAAAGGCUAGUGAUUUAUACAGUCACUAUAGUGUUAGUUGGAGUGGAUGAAAAAAUUCAGCGGUGUAACCUGGAGCUCGCGAUGCGUUGGUAGUGAUGUGUUCAACAUGAGGGAGCCAGGACAGGUUAGAUGAAAUGAAAAUGCUGAGGUAUUUGUAAAGUGAUACCCAGAGACCGUGGUGAUACUGAUUCAAAUGGAAUGUUAUUAAUGGAAUAAGUCACAUGCACUUUAUUAGAGCGCGAAAUUAUCACCAGAAUUUUGUUGUU
This is a long non-coding RNA of Ornithodoros turicata, 3815 nucleotides long. RefSeq lists it as uncharacterized. The transcript is spliced from 6 exons. NCBI's taxonomy places the organism in Eukaryota, Metazoa, Arthropoda, Arachnida, Ixodida, Argasidae. The record is from RefSeq and is a predicted model, not a curated record.